RNAcentral lists this long non-coding RNA (633 nucleotides) under Mustela putorius furo (domestic ferret). RNAcentral describes it as "lncRNA (ENSMPUG00000024930.1)". The record is from RNAcentral. Lineage: Eukaryota; Metazoa; Chordata; Mammalia; Carnivora; Mustelidae.
CAAACUUUGAAAGUGCCCUCUGGUGGCCAUGGCUCUACACUGCACCCACAUAAUCGCUUAGCCUCUGUAAAAGGAGGGGACUAGAAAUGGGAGAAUCUUCCUCACUUAGGGUGACUGGUGGAUUUGUGGAAGGACUGGAAAAGAUCAGGGUCAUGGGGAGUGCGUUCUGGGAGCACUGAACAACGGGAGGGAGGAACAGGGUGUGUGUGAAACAUCAUAAGAGAGUCUGUCAUUCAUUCAUUCGAGAAAUGCUUGUGUAUUACUAGGACCACAGAUACCGUGCCUAGACUCAAGGAACUCUCAGUUUGGAGGAAAGCUGAGAAAAGAUGAGAAAACCAACAAUUUAUAUAUACGGAGAUUAAAAGCCAGCAUCGUUUUUGAAGUUUCAGGAGCUCCAGGAACCCCAGAAUUUCUUUGCACAGCAUUGGAAGGAAAUAUUCAAAUCCUGAAAUUCUGUCCCAGUGGAGGAAACAAUAGUGCCCUUGAACAACUCUAAAUUGGCCACUGUGGCAAGGAUGUGUUGCUGGAGGGAAAUCCCUGCCUGGGAAAACAGCCCGGAGGAUGGGCCUGGACUCCCUUUUCGGAGGUACUGUUUGAUAUCCAGGUAUACCCUGUGGGGUGGGUGGGUAGGAC